RNAcentral lists this ribosomal RNA (981 nucleotides) under uncultured bacterium. RNAcentral's name for it is "bacterial SSU rRNA". It matches the Rfam family "Bacterial small subunit ribosomal RNA", at positions 44 to 1043 of the family's 1533-position model. The record is from RNAcentral.
GCGCCUAACACAUGCAAGUCGAGCGGUAGAAUUAUUAUUGAGUCUUCGGAUGAUUUAAUAAUUUGAGAGCGGCGAACGGGUGAGUAACACGUUGGUAUCUGCCCCCAAGUCAGGGAUAGCCAUUGGAAACGAUGAUUAAUACCGGAUAGUCUCUUCGGAGUAAAGAUUUAUUGCUUGGGGAGGAACCUGCGUUCUAUCAGCUAGUUGGUGAGGUAAAAGCUCACCAAGGCUAUGACGGAUACCUGGUCUGAGAGGAUGAUCAGGCACAAUGGAACUGAGACACGGUCCAUACUCCUACGGGAGGCAGCAGUGAGGAAUCUUCCACAAUGGGCGAAAGCCUGAUGGAGCGACACCGCGUGAAGGAUGAAGGCCUAACGGUUGUAAACUUCUUUUCUGAAGGAGCAUAAUGAGAGUACUUCAGGAAUAAGGGACGGCUAAAUACGUGCCAGCAGCCGCGGUAAUACGUAUGUCUCGAGCGUUACCCGGAAUCACUGGGUGUAAAGGGUUUGUAGGCGGCUUGUUAAGUUGGAUAUGAAAGACCGGAGCUCAACUCCGAGUUUGUGGUUAAAACUGGCAAGCUAGAAUUAAGGAGAGGUAAGCGGAAUUCUAAGUGUAGGGGUGCAAUCCGUAGAUACUUAGAGGAACACCAAAAGCGAAGGCAGCUUACUGGAAUUGUAUUGACGCUGAGGAACGAAAGCGUGGGGAGCGAAAAGGAUUAGAUACCCUUGUAGUCCACGCCCUAAACGAUGAUAACUAAGUGUUGUGUUUUCGGAUGCAGUGCUGUAGCUAACGCGUUAAGUUAUCCACCUGAGGAGUACGGUCGCAAGAUUAAAACUCAAAGGAAUAGACGGGGACCCACACAAGCAGUGGAUCACGUGGUUUAAUUCGACAAUAAACGGGGAACCUUACCCAGACUUGACAUCUACCGAAUUCUUUAGAGAAUAGAGAAGUGCUUUUAUUAGAGCGGUAAGACAGGUGCUG